Molecule: long non-coding RNA, 1267 nt
Filed under: Bos indicus x Bos taurus (hybrid cattle)
Lineage: Eukaryota; Metazoa; Chordata; Mammalia; Artiodactyla; Bovidae
Description: lncRNA (ENSBIXG00005000555.1)
Source: RNAcentral
UUCAAAAAUGGGUUGAAAUUAGGCGUUUGGGAUUAACAUAGACACACUAACUAUAUAUAUAACAGAUAGCCAACAAAGACCUACUGUGUAGCACAGAGAACUGUGUUCGGUAUUUUAUAGUAACCUAUAAGAGAAAAAAAUCUGAAAAAGAAUAGACAUAUAUAUGUGUGGAUAACUGAAUCACUUUGCUUCACUCCUGAAAUUAAUAUGACAUUGUAAAGCAACUAUGCUUCAAUUUAACAAGACAGAAAGAAAUGGGUUCGGGUUUGCUUAGCUAAAUAACCUUGAAUUUGAUUUUUUCAAUAGAUUUUAGUAUUUUAAAGUCAUAUACUUGGAGCAUUAGAAAAAUGAAAUGCCAAAGCUGAUAUCCUGACCCGAGUUAUAAGAUGCCCAUGCUUUACCUUCAUAGCACGGCCCUCCCGGUAGUCACUGUUCACCAGCAAACGUGUUGUCAAUACACAAGGCAAUUGAAUGCACAUGUGUUUCUAUUUGACCACCUAUGUAUUUGCUCCUCUAAAGAAAAAUCAUAAUCGAAGAAGGAACCGGCAGCCUGCCCAGGACACGCCACCACCCCAAAAGCAGAAAGUCAUCUUUCUGCUGUUGAAGUCUCUAAUGUGAAGAAGCCUGCAAGCCCAGAAAGCUUAUUUCUCAGCUGAGUGACCACAGCAGAAAGGACCCACAUUCUUGUCUAAGCCCUGUAACUGCAGGCUUCUAUGGUAAGGCCAAUAUCUGCCUUCGUGCAGAACUGCCAGAGGGGUUAGGGAAACGAGAUACCAUUUCUCUGAGAAACUCUGCUCAUUUCUGUGAGCCCAUGACUGAUGGUGAUUGACAACCCUGCACACCUGCAAUCAAGGAUGCCCCGUAUUUAUCCCAGGGCAACACCUGCGGGGAGACCGGCUCUCACUCCCUGAGCGCGUCCCGCAGAAGGCUGGCAGAGUGUCUCCUGGUCCUCUCUUCCCUAAAGCUCCGGGAAGGCGGCCAGGAGCUCGGUCACCUCACCCCUGUGCGGCAGUCCUGUGCAAGCAUGUCUCUUCUGUGCUCACCUUCUGGCCGGAGGCAACAGCAGGGUCCUCUUCGUGAAGGAGACACCCAGGGGCUGAGUAUCAGGGAACAAAUGCAUUCAUCAUGGCAGGGCCCGUGUGCCAAGGCGCAAUAAAGACCAUGCUCGCCGCGGCGGGGAGCGUGGGGACCUCGCCGCAGACCACACGCGCCGGAGUCGCUCUCUGAAGUCUCAUUACUAAGUAUGUGUGUAUGUAGCGGGGGGUGA